GGGUUAGUAGGUUGGUCAUGCCUCUGGUAUGUACUGGUCUCACUGAUUCCUCCUUCCUGAUGGACCGUAAUGCCAUUAAUUUGGUGUUGCGGGGAAUUUGGACUGUUACUUUGAAAAAUUAGAGUGUUUAAAGCAAGCUAACGCUCGAAUACAUUAGCAUGGAAUAAUGAAAUAGGACGUUCGACCUAUUUUCGUUGGUUUUUCUAGGGAUUGACGUAAUGAUUAAUAGGGAUAGUUGGGC
RNAcentral lists this ribosomal RNA (241 nucleotides) under uncultured Glomeromycotina. Its description in RNAcentral is "partial 18S ribosomal RNA". The stretch from base 40 to 241 matches the Rfam family "Eukaryotic small subunit ribosomal RNA", at positions 686 to 887 of the family's 1831-position model. The record is from RNAcentral. Lineage: Eukaryota; Fungi; Glomeromycota.